This is a long non-coding RNA of Lingula anatina, 313 nucleotides long. The record is from RefSeq and is a predicted model, not a curated record. NCBI's taxonomy places the organism in Eukaryota, Metazoa, Brachiopoda, Lingulata, Lingulida, Lingulidae.
GUACGACUUAAACGUGUACUUAAAGUCGAACAACGCACUUGGCAAGGCCAUUUGGACCCGGCGCGGGACCCAAGGAAAUCGGUGGAUACAGGCUAACAUCAAUCUCCCACGGAAAAGCAACUUUCAGGUCAUCUUUGAGGGAAUUCGUGGAAGUGGUUACCAAGGUGACAUAGCCAUAGAUGACAUUAAGUCAUUCCCUGGAAAUUGCCCGUCAGGAAGUACAAUUCGUCCUACUGGCACUGCGGUUCCUGGAGGCACUACAUCAGCCCCUGUACUUACCCAGUGCAAUUUUGAGAAUGGACUGUGCGGAUGG